This 247-nucleotide unclassified non-coding RNA is filed under the name uncultured fungus. RNAcentral describes it as "partial contains 5.8S ribosomal RNA, internal transcribed spacer 2, and large subunit ribosomal RNA". Lineage: Eukaryota; Fungi. The record is from RNAcentral.
AACGCACAUUGCGCCCCUUGGUAUUCCGAAGGGCAUGCCUGUUCGAGCGUCAUUUCAAACACUCAAGCACCGCUUGGUAUUGGGCGUCGGUCCGGCGAGGACCCGCUCGCAACCCAUUGGCGGCACCGUCCGGUCCCUCAGCGUUCGCAGUACCUCUUCGCUCAGGAGCCCGCGUCGGCGCCCGCCCGGAAACAUUCCACCUUUCAAGUUUGACCUCGGAUCAGGUAGGGAUACCCGCUGAACUUAA